UACGUAGGGGGCGAGCGUUGUCCGGAUUUACUGGGCGUAAAGCGCGUGUAGGCGGCUGGAUAAGUCGGGUGUGAAAGCCCGGGGCUCAACCCCGGGAUGCCGCCCGAGACUGUUCGGCUUGAGGUCGGAAGAGGGGAGUGGAAUUCCAGGUGUAGCGGUGAAAUGCGUAGAGAUCUGGAGGAACACCCGUGGCGAAGGCGGCUCCCUGGUCCGAUUCUGACGCUGAGACGCGAAAGCGCGGGGAGCGAACGGGAUUAGAAACCCCAGUAGUCC
RNAcentral lists this ribosomal RNA (273 nucleotides) under uncultured bacterium. RNAcentral's name for it is "partial 16S ribosomal RNA". It matches the Rfam family "Bacterial small subunit ribosomal RNA", at positions 524 to 796 of the family's 1533-position model. The record is from RNAcentral.